This 342-nucleotide ribosomal RNA is filed under the name Triticum aestivum (bread wheat). Its description in RNAcentral is "partial small subunit ribosomal RNA". The record is from RNAcentral. Lineage: Eukaryota; Viridiplantae; Streptophyta; Magnoliopsida; Poales; Poaceae.
AUGAAAACCUGCCUAUCCCAUAUAAUUAGAGACCACUCCCUUGAUUUUAUCUGUUUGCAAGAAACCUUAAAAAAGAAUUUCCUGGAGAAUUCUUUUAGGAAACUUGACCCAUAUAAUUUGUUUGAGUGGGAACGGAUCCCCUCAAUUGGUAAGGCCGGGGGCAUUCUAUGUGGGGUCAGAAAAGAGAAGUUUGAAGUAGUUGCUUGGAGGAAAGGCAGAUUCAUUCUGCAGGUGUCUCUUUAUGAUAUCAACAUGAAGAAAAUCUGGACACUUUGUACUGUGUAUGGAGCGGCUCAUGAGUGUGACAAAAGUGAUUUCCUUAGUGAAUUGGCUGAUUUCUGC